AAACCAACAGGGAUUGCCCCAGUAACGGCGAGUGAAGCGGCAACAGCUCAAAUUUGAAAUCUGGCUCCCUCGGGGGCCCGAGUUGUAAUUUGGAGAGGAUGCUUUGGGCGCGGCGCCUUCCGAGUUCCUUGGAACAGGACGCCAGAGAGGGUGAGAGCCCCGUACGGUUGGACGCCUAGCCCGUGUAAAGCUCCUUCGACGAGUCGAGUAGUUUGGGAAUGCUGCUCAAAAUGGGAGGUAAAUUUCUUCUAAAGCUAAAUACCGGCCAGAGACCGAUAGCGCACAAGUAGAGUGAUCGAAAGAUGAAAAGCACUUUGAAAAGAGGGUUAAACAGCACGUGAAAUUGUUGAAAGGGAAGCGCCUGUGGCCAGACGUGCCGCCCGCGGAUCACCUGGCGCCCCCGCGCCAGGGCACGCCGCGGGUGUGCAGGCCAGCAUCGGCUUUCCUAGGGGGAUAAAGGCCGCGGGAACGUAGCUCCUCCGGGAGUGUUACAGCCCGCGGCGCCAUACCUCUGGGGGGGCCGAGGACCGCGCCCUUCGGGGCAAGGAUGCUGGCGUAAUGGCCACCAGCGAC
RNAcentral lists this ribosomal RNA (573 nucleotides) under fungal sp. QmPlEG-3-47. Its description in RNAcentral is "LSU rRNA". It matches the Rfam family "Eukaryotic large subunit ribosomal RNA", at positions 62 to 648 of the family's 3401-position model. The record is from RNAcentral. Lineage: Eukaryota; Fungi.